RNAcentral lists this ribosomal RNA (273 nucleotides) under Phaeomonas parva. Its description in RNAcentral is "partial Bacterial large subunit ribosomal RNA". It matches the Rfam family "Bacterial large subunit ribosomal RNA", at positions 180 to 500 of the family's 2925-position model. Lineage: Eukaryota; Pinguiophyceae; Pinguiochrysidales; Pinguiochrysidaceae. The record is from RNAcentral.
CAAACGAGGGGAACUGAAACAUCUAAGUACCCUUAGGAAAAGAAAUCAACCGAGAUUCCCCUAGUAGCGGCGAGCGAACGGGGAGCAGCCCUUAAGCUGUUUAGAAUUUAGUGGAAUCCUUUGGGAAGAGGAGCGAUACAAGGUGAUAGCCCUGUACACGACGGAUUCUUUACAGUGAAAUCGAGUAGGUCGGGACACGUGUUAUCUUGACUGAAUAUGGGGGGACCAUCCUCCAAGGCUAAAUACUCCUAACUGACCGAUAGUGAACCAGUA